CUUCCUUAUACACCUAAAGCACCUAAACAAAAUGAAGUGUUAGGAAGAGAGGGAGAAAGAAACCUUUUGUCACUAUACAUUGAAGCUUGCAUUUUUUGGUACCAGGGAUUGAACCCAGUGGCAUAUCCCCAACAUUUUUUGAGGCAUAAAAGUUGUUUCUUUUUUCCUAAAAAUUUUUAUUAGUUAUUGAUGGGCCUUUAUUCAUUUAUUUGUUUAUAUGUGGUGUUGAGAAUCGAACCCAGUGCCUGACACAUGCUAGGCAAGCGCGCUACCACUGAGCCACACCCCAGCCCUAAAAGUUGUUUUUAAACAAACUUUUUAAAAUGCAGAAUAUUUCAUCUUUUAUCCACUACCUGACAGGUGAUAAAUGUGAGAUAUCAGAGUAGUGAUGAGACCAAUGUUUGUCAAAAUGAAGAUGAAGAGCAAUCAUGGUCUGAACUUUCGGACAUUCCAGGUUAGGUUUGCAGUAGUGCUUCUUUGCCCAACAAGCACAUAUUUUCCUCUUUAUCCCCAAAUGAACUCCAACGGGAGAGACUUAGAAUGAAAUGUGGUAACCUUACUGGUAGCUUAGCCUUGGAGAAUCUUUCAUAGUUCUGGGAUUUUUCAGAAGAGAAUAUAGUAUUUAUUGGUAGUAACAGUUUUCAAGAAACUAAUAAAGUUCCAUCUUUAAUAAAAAAAAAUAAUAAGGCUUUUAGACUUUGGAAUUUUCUAUAUAACAUUAGUCCUUUAAUCUUCUAAGCCAUUUCUUACUGAUCAUUAACACUUUUUAUCCAGCAAGCAUUCUUCAAGCUACUUACUGUUCCUGAAUAAGCACGAUGUUUAUCAUCAUAUUGAAUUGGUUCUAUUCUUUUCUAACUAAAAAGUUUUUUUGUGUGUGUUUUUCUAACUUAGCAUUUUUAGGGCUAAUUUACC
This 912-nucleotide long non-coding RNA is filed under the name Marmota monax (woodchuck). The record is from RNAcentral. Lineage: Eukaryota; Metazoa; Chordata; Mammalia; Rodentia; Sciuridae.